GACGAACGCUGGCGGCGUGCUUAACACAUGCAAGUCGAACGGAGAUAUCCAAGUAGUAAUACGAAGAUAUCUUAGUGGCGGACGGGUGAGUAACACGUGGGUAACCUGCCCUAUGGAGGGGGAUAACACAAAGAAAUUUGUGCUAAUACCGCAUAACAUAGCUAUAUCGCAUGGUAGAGCUAUCAAAGAUUUAUUGCCAUAGGAUGGACCCGCGGCCCAUUAGCUAGUUGGUGAGGUAACGGCUCACCAAGGCGACGAUGGGUAGCCGAUCUGAGAGGAUGAACGGCCACAUUGGAACUGAGACACGGUCCAGACUCCUACGGGAGGCAGCAGUGGGGAAUAUUGCACAAUGGGGGAAAGCCUGACCGAGCAACGCCGCGUGAGCGAUGAAGGCCUUCGGGUCGUAAAGCUCUGUUGUUAGAGAAGAACAAGUACGAGAGUAACUGCUCGUACCUUGACGGUACCUAACCAGAAAGCCACGGCUAACUACGUGCCAGCAGCCGCGGUAAUACGUAGGUGGCAAGCGUUAUCCGGAAUUAUUGGGCGUAAAGCGCGCGCAGGCGGUCUCUUAAGUCUGAUGUGAAAGCCCACGGCUCAACCGUGGAGGGUCAUUGGAAACUGGGAGACUUGAGUGCAGGAGAGAAAAGUGGAAUUCCACGUGUAGCGGUGAAAUGCGUAGAGAUGUGGAGGAACACCAGUGGCGAAGGCGGCUUUUUGGCCUGUAACUGACGCUGAGGCGCGAAAGCGUGGGGAGCAAACAGGAUUAGAUACCCUGGUAGUCCACGCCGUAAACGAUGAGUGCUAGGUGUU
Molecule: ribosomal RNA, 810 nt
Filed under: uncultured bacterium
Lineage: Bacteria
Description: bacterial SSU rRNA
Rfam family: Bacterial small subunit ribosomal RNA
Source: RNAcentral